This 650-nucleotide ribosomal RNA is filed under the name uncultured marine bacterium. RNAcentral describes it as "bacterial SSU rRNA". It matches the Rfam family "Bacterial small subunit ribosomal RNA", at positions 81 to 733 of the family's 1533-position model. The record is from RNAcentral.
CUGGAUGCUGACGAGCGGCGGACGGGUGAGUAAUGCAUAGGAAUCUGCCCGAUAGUGGGGGAUAACCUGGGGAAACCCAGGCUAAUACCGCAUACGUCCUACGGGAGAAAGGGGGCUCCGGCUCCCGCUAUGGGAUGAGCCUAUGUCGGAUUAGCUAGUUGGUGAGGUAGCGGCUCACCAAGGCCACGAUCCGUAGCUGGUCUGAGAGGAUGAUCAGCCACAUCGGGACUGAGACACGGCCCGAACUCCUACGGGAGGCAGCAGUGGGGAAUAUUGGACAAUGGGCGCAAGCCUGAUCCAGCCAUGCCGCGUGUGUGAAGAAGGCCCUCGGGUUGUAAAGCACUUUCAGCGAGGAAGAACGCCCAGCGGUUAAUACCCGCUAGGAAAGACAUCACUCGCAGAAGAAGCACCGGCUAACUCCGUGCCAGCAGCCGCGGUAAUACGGAGGGUGCAAGCGUUAAUCGGAAUUACUGGGCGUAAAGCGCGCGUAGGUGGCUUGAUAAGCCGGUUGUGAAAGCCCCGGGCUCAACCUGGGAACGGCAUCCGGAACUGUCAAGCUAGAGUGCAGGAGAGGAAGGUAGAAUUCCCGGUGUAGCGGUGAAAUGCGUAGAGAUCGGGAGGAAUACCAGUGGCGAAGGCGGCCUUCUGGA